GACGAACGCUGGCGGCGUGCUUAACACAUGCAAGUCGAACGGAAAUGCCUCUUUCGGGGGGUACUCGAGUGGCGAACGGGUGAGUAACACGUGAGUAACCUGCCCUUGACUUUGGGAUAACUUCAGGAAACUGGGGCUAAUACCGGAUAGGAGCUCCUGCUGCAUGGUGGGGGUUGGAAAGUUUCGGCGGUUGGGGAUGGACUCGCGGCUUAUCAGCUUGUUGGUGGGGUAGUGGCUUACCAAGGCUUUGACGGGUAGCCGGCCUGAGAGGGUGACCGGCCACAUUGGGACUGAGAUACGGCCCAGACUCCUACGGGAGGCAGCAGUGGGGAAUAUUGCACAAUGGGUGGAAGCCUGAUGCAGCAACGCCGUGUGCGGGAUGACGGCCUUCGGGUUGUAAACCGCUUUCGCUCAUGACGAAGCUUUGUGUGACGGUAGUGGGUAAAGAAGCACCGGCUAACUACGUG
This 467-nucleotide ribosomal RNA is filed under the name uncultured bacterium. RNAcentral's name for it is "partial 16S ribosomal RNA". It matches the Rfam family "Bacterial small subunit ribosomal RNA", at positions 28 to 507 of the family's 1533-position model. The record is from RNAcentral.